GAACGCCCUAUGGUUUUUCGGAGCCAGAGGGAGUGGCGGACGGGUGAGGAACACGUGGGUACCUACCCUCUGGUGAGGAAUAUCGGCGAGAAAUCGCUGACAAUACCGCAUACGUUUCGCAAGAAACAAAGCCCGCAAGGGUGCCAGGGGAAGGGCCUGCGGCCGAUUAGCUGGUUGGUGGGGUAAUGGCCUACCAAGGCGACGAUCGGUAGCUGGUCUGAGAGGAUGGUCAGCCACACUGGGAUUGAGAACGGCCCAGACUCCUACGGGGGGCAGCAGUGAGGAAUUUUCGUCAAUGGGGGCAACCCUGAACGAGCAACGCCGCGUGCAGGAAGAAGGUUUUCGGAUCGUAAACUGCUUUUCUCUGGGACGAGAACGGACGGUACCAGAGGAAGAAGCCCCGGCUAACUACGUG
This 415-nucleotide ribosomal RNA is filed under the name uncultured bacterium. RNAcentral describes it as "bacterial SSU rRNA". It matches the Rfam family "Bacterial small subunit ribosomal RNA", at positions 64 to 507 of the family's 1533-position model. The record is from RNAcentral.